UGAACCUACGGGGCGCAGCAGUGGGGAAUAUUGGGCAAUGGGCGCAAGCCUGACCCAGCAACGCCGCGUGAAGGAAGAAGGCUUUCGGGUUGUAAACUUCUUUUCUCAGGGACGAAGAAAGUGACGGUACCUGAGGAAUAAGCCACGGCUAACUACGUGCCAGCAGCCGCGGUAAUACGUAGGUGGCAAGCGUUAUCCGGAUUUACUGGGUGUAAAGGGCGUGUAGGCGGGAGAGCAAGUCAGACGUG
This 248-nucleotide ribosomal RNA is filed under the name uncultured bacterium. RNAcentral's name for it is "partial 16S ribosomal RNA". It matches the Rfam family "Bacterial small subunit ribosomal RNA", at positions 334 to 596 of the family's 1533-position model. The record is from RNAcentral.